UCGGACGCAGUGCAGUUGUUCGCCGAUUAUUCGAAGAGCAUACGAAACUAUUUAUACGAUGUCGAUGGCAAUAUUCUGCUUGAUGUUUACACUCAAACCUCUUCAGUUCCAUUAGGUUACAACCACCCUGAAUUAUUAGAUGUCAAGAUAAAGAAAACAUCAGAACAUUCAUAAACCGACCUGCCCUCGGUGUAUUUCCUGGUGAAAAUUAUCCUCAGCGAGUCCAGAAUUCUCUGUUACGUAUUGCUCCCAAAGGCCAUACAGAGGUAACGACGAUGGCGUGUGGAUCGUGCUCAAACGAAAAUGCGUACAAGGCAAUUUUCGUUUGGUAUCACCGGAAACAGAGGGGAGAUAAGUCAUAUACCCCAGAGGAGAAGACGAGUUGCGUAAUGAACCAAUUGCCUGGUGUUUCUGACCUGACUCUUAUGUCUUUCAAAGGCGCUUUCCACGACAGAACGUUUGGUACGUUAAUCACGACUCAUACCAAGCCAGUCCAUAAACUGGACAUUCCUACAAAGGACUGGCCAAUUGGAAUCUUCCCUCGCCA
Daphnia carinata is the source of this 547-nucleotide long non-coding RNA. RefSeq lists it as uncharacterized. The record is from RefSeq and is a predicted model, not a curated record. NCBI's taxonomy places the organism in Eukaryota, Metazoa, Arthropoda, Branchiopoda, Diplostraca, Daphniidae. The transcript is spliced from 4 exons.